CCUACGAGAGGCAGCAGUGAGGAAUAUUGGUCAAUGGUCGAGAGACUGAACCAGCCAAGUCGCGUGAGGGAUGACGGCACUGUGUAUUGUAAACCUCUUUUGUCAGGGAAUAAAACGAGGCACGUGUGCCUUUUUGAAUGUACUUUAUGAAUAAGCACCGGCUAAUUCCGUGCCAGCAGCCGCGGUAAUACGGAGGGUGCGGGCGUUAUCCGGAUUUAUUGGGUUUAAAGGGUGCGUAGGCCGUUCUUUAAGUGAGCCGUGAAAUGUCGGGGCUCAACCACGGUAGUGCGUAUGAAACUGGAGAUCUUGAGUGUGCGGAAGGUAGGCGGAAUGCGUGGUGUAGCGGUGAAAUGCUUAGAUAUCACGAAGAACUCCGAUUGCGAAGGCAGCAUGCCGCAGCCUCACUGACGCUGAGGCUCGAAAGCGCGGGUAUCGAACAGGAUUAGAUACCCGAGUAGUC
Molecule: ribosomal RNA, 460 nt
Filed under: uncultured bacterium
Lineage: Bacteria
Description: partial 16S ribosomal RNA
Rfam family: Bacterial small subunit ribosomal RNA
Source: RNAcentral